Dicentrarchus labrax (European seabass) is the source of this 1090-nucleotide non-coding RNA. The record is from the annotation of a RefSeq genome assembly. NCBI's taxonomy places the organism in Eukaryota, Metazoa, Chordata, Actinopteri, Moronidae.
UCCUUCAUGACAACAGAAGACACAGAAAUCCUCCUCAUCAAAAGCAUGACUUUGAUCUCCGUCCUCAUCUGGAUUCUCCUCUGCUGCUGCUUCACAGAGUCCAGAGGCCAGGUCACAGUGACUCAGUCUGGAGCAGUGAGCUCUGCUCUGGGACGCUCCGCCACCAUCACAUGUAGGACCAGUCAGAAUGUUUAUAGCUCCGAUCGUUUAGCCUGGUACCAACAGAGAGAUGGAGAAACUCCUAAACUGCUCAUUUACUAUGCUAGCACCCGAGCAUCAGGGAUUCCAGGUCGUUUUACAGGCAGUGGAUCAAACUCUGACUUCACUCUGACCAUCAGUGGAGUCCAGACUGAAGAUGCAGCAGUUUACUACUGUCAGAGUUAUCACUACAUCAACAGUCAGAAUGUGUUCACACAGUGAAAAAGCGUCGUACAAAAACCUCCCUCACUCAGACUGAACAGAAACUGAACUGACUGCUGCAGCUGGAAGCUACUGCAGAGACUGAUACACUUCACUGAGGACACACACACACACACAUUAAGAUGGUAACAGUGGGGUAAUAUGUUUCAGUAACAAGACUCAACAGGUCAUAAUGUGGUUAUUACAGAUGUACAGUGGGAAUUGGGAGAGGGACAGAAAAAGUAAAUAGUUUAGCAGACAUGGUAUGUAUAUUUCAUUAUUUAUCAUAAUUAGGUCAUUUAAAUAUAUAUCAUUUAUAUUGUUUAUGAUAGAUUGUCAGUGUGUUUUCUUGCCUGAUUCACUCACAGAAACAAUAGAAAAUCACUCAAACUAUUGCUACACAUCACAUGACAGCCACGGAGGGGCCCACACAAAGCAUAGCCUAGGGGCUCAUGACCGACUUAAUCCACCACAGGUAACAGCAUAAUAAAGACACAAAAAUCUGACAAUUAUUGGGGGAAAAUCAAGGUUGUUCAUUAGUUUCCUUAAUAUAAAAGGCAGCAGGUAUGAUUUAUUUAUCCAGGUUUUGAAACGUCACUGAGAUUGCUCAACCUCAUACAAAGGAGGCUUUUUUGUGCAGCACUUUGGAAACCUUGUGUUUGUUAAAAUCGUGCUAUAUAAAUAAAGUGGA